This 570-nucleotide ribosomal RNA is filed under the name Aureobasidium pullulans. RNAcentral describes it as "eukaryotic LSU rRNA". It matches the Rfam family "Eukaryotic large subunit ribosomal RNA", at positions 70 to 654 of the family's 3401-position model. Lineage: Eukaryota; Fungi; Ascomycota; Dothideomycetes; Dothideales; Saccotheciaceae. The record is from RNAcentral.
AGGGAUUGCCCUAGUAACGGCGAGUGAAGCGGCAACAGCUCAAAUUUGAAAGCUAGCCUUCGGGUUUCGCAUUGUAAUUUGUAGAGGAUGAUUUGGGGAAGCCGCCUGUCUAAGUUCCUUGGAACAGGACGUCAUAGAGGGUGAGAAUCCCGUAUGUGACAGGAAAUGGCACCCUAUGUAAAUCUCCUUCGACGAGUCGAGUUGUUUGGGAAUGCAGCUCUAAAUGGGAGGUAAAUUUCUUCUAAAGCUAAAUAUUGGCGAGAGACCGAUAGCGCACAAGUAGAGUGAUCGAAAGAUGAAAAGCACUUUGGAAAGAGAGUUAAAAAGCACGUGAAAUUGUUGAAAGGGAAGCGCUUGCAAUCAGACUUGUUUAAACUGUUCGGCCGGUCUUCUGACCGGUUUACUCAGUUUGGACAGGCCAGCAUCAGUUUCGGCGGCCGGAUAAAGGCUCUGGGAAUGUGGCCUCCACUUCGGUGGAGGUGUUAUAGCCCAGGGUGUAAUACGGCCAGCCGGGACUGAGGUCCGCGCUUCGGCUAGGAUGCUGGCGUAAUGGUUGUAAGCGACCCGCUA